RNAcentral lists this unclassified non-coding RNA (384 nucleotides) under uncultured bacterium. Its description in RNAcentral is "contains 16S-23S intergenic spacer region". The record is from RNAcentral.
UCCUGGUUUCCCAGGCAGUCCCAUCAGAGUGCCUUCUUACGAAGUAGCAACUGACAGCAGGGGUUGCGCUCGUUAUAGGACUUAACCCAACAUCUCACGACACGAGCUGACGACAGCCAUGCAGCACCUGUUCAUAUGUCUUAGGUUUCCCUAAGAAGACCCCGUUUCUGGGGCUGUCAUAUGUAUGUCAAACCUAGGUAAGGUUCCUCGCGUAGUGUCGAAUUAAACCACAUGUUCCACCGCUUGUGCGGACCCCCGUCAAUUCCUUUGAGUUUUAAUCUUGCGACCGUAGUCCCCAGGCGGAUCACUUAUCGCGUUAGCUACGACACUGAAUCUGCAGAGCAAACCCAACGUCUAGUGAUCAUCGUUUACAGCGUGGACUAC